RNAcentral lists this ribosomal RNA (460 nucleotides) under uncultured bacterium. RNAcentral's name for it is "partial 16S ribosomal RNA". It matches the Rfam family "Bacterial small subunit ribosomal RNA", at positions 338 to 795 of the family's 1533-position model. The record is from RNAcentral.
CCUACGGGCGGCAGCAGUGAGGAAUAUUGGUCAAUGGGCGCGAGCCUGAACCAGCCAAGUAGCGUGAAGGAUGACUGCCCUACGGGUUGUAAACUUCUUUUAUAAAGGAAUAAAGUGAGGCACGUGUGCCUUAUUGUGUGUACUUGAUGAAUAAGGAUCGGCUAACUCCGUGCCAGCAGCCGCGGUAAUACGGAGGAUCCGAGCGUUAUCCGGAUUUAUUGGGUUUAAAGGGAGCGUAGAUGGGUUGUUAAGUCAGUCGUGAAAGUGUGCGGCUCAACCGUCAAAUUGCAAUUGAUACUGGCAGUCUUGAGUUCAGUUGAGGUACGCGGAAUUCGCGGUGUAGCGGUGAAAUGCUUAGAUAGCACGAAGAACUCCGAUUGCGAAGGCAGCUUACUAGCGUCCCACUGACAUUGAUGCUCGAAAGUGUGGGUAUCAAACAGGAUUAGAUACCCCAGUAGUC